Molecule: transfer RNA, 68 nt
Filed under: Ophiomastix mixta
Lineage: Eukaryota; Metazoa; Echinodermata; Ophiuroidea; Amphilepidida; Ophiocomidae
Description: tRNA-Asp
Source: RNAcentral
GAGCUUAGUUGAAAUACAAUAAGGGUCUGUCAGUUCCUUGGUGCAGGUUAAAUUCUUGUAGUUCCAUG